AGAGUUUGAUCAUGGCUCAGAUUGAACGCUGGCGGCAGGCCUAACACAUGCAAGUCGAACGGUAACAUUUCUAGCUUGCUAGAAGAUGACGAGUGGCGGACGGGUGAGUAAUGCUUGGGAACUUGCCUUUGCGAGGGGGAUAACAGUUGGAAACGACUGCUAAUACCGCAUAAUGUCUUCGGACCAAACGGGGCUUCGGCUCCGGCGCAAAGAGAGGCCCAAGUGAGAUUAGCUAGUUGGUAAGGUAACGGCUUACCAAGGCGACGAUCUCUAGCUGUUCUGAGAGGAAGAUCAGCCACACUGGGACUGAGACACGGCCCAGACUCCUACGGGAGGCAGCAGUGGGGAAUAUUGCACAAUGGGGGAAACCCUGAUGCAGCCAUGCCGCGUGUGUGAAGAAGGCCUUCGGGUUGUAAAGCACUUUCAGUCGUGAGGAAAAGUUAGUAGUUAAUACCUGCUAGCCGUGACGUUAACAACAGAAGAAGCACCGGCUAACUCCGUGCCAGCAGCCGCGGUAAUACGGAGGGUGCGAGCGUUAAUCGGAAUUACUGGGCGUAAAGCGCACGCAGGCGGUUUGUUAAGCUAGGUGUGAAAGCCCCGGGCUCAACCUGGGAUGGUCAUUUAGAACUGGCAGACUAGAGUCUUGGAGAGGGGAGUGGAAUUCCAGGUGUAGCGGUGAAAUGCGUAGAUAUCUGGAGGAACAUCAGUGGCGAAGGCGACUCCCUGGCCAAAGACUGACGCUCAUGUGCGAAAGUGUGGGU
RNAcentral lists this ribosomal RNA (761 nucleotides) under uncultured bacterium. Its description in RNAcentral is "bacterial SSU rRNA". It matches the Rfam family "Bacterial small subunit ribosomal RNA", at positions 8 to 766 of the family's 1533-position model. The record is from RNAcentral.